CCGCCCUUGGCCGCGGGAAGGGCGAGCAUGGGAGCAGCGCCCCGUCCUCGGGGCCCCCGGUGCCGGCCAGCGGGCUGCUCUUGGCCAGAUUUGGAUUAUGGUGGUUUUCUAACCCAGCAGCAGUUGUGCAGUAUAGAACAGGUUCUGGCAUACACACUGUGCCCUAAAGAAAGUUCUGGCUUUAGGUAGAAUGCCAUGAACAAUCCCUUAUUGUCUGAGUGGCUUCAGAGGAAUGGUUCAUGAGUUAUUUUCUCAGGUAGGAGUGGCUAUAACUUGUGGUAGUAUGUUCAUUUCCUUGUUAUUUUUUUCUCUUGAAAUUUGCCUUUUUGCUACUGUGCAGAUGGAAGAAAAAAAAUCUGAUUUUUUAUGUGGAGGGGGGAUGCAUUUUGUAAAGUAUCUGGACUUUUAGAAAGCUUUUUUUUUUUUUGCAGAUGCAGGUAGACUGCCUUCAAAUAAUGUCACGUUUCUGUGCUACUUCUGUAU
Molecule: long non-coding RNA, 483 nt
Organism: Chiroxiphia lanceolata (lance-tailed manakin)
Lineage: Eukaryota; Metazoa; Chordata; Aves; Passeriformes; Pipridae
Exons: 3
Source: RefSeq, a predicted model, not a curated record